AUUGAACGCUGGCGGCAGGCCUAACACAUGCAAGUCGAACGAGUGGCGGACGGGUGAGUAAUGUCUGGGAAACUGCCUGAUGGAGGGGGAUAACUACUGGAAACGGUAGCUAAUACCGCAUACCAUCAGAUGUGCCCAUAUGGGAUUAGCUGGUAGGUGGGGUAAUGGCUCACCUAGGCGACGAUCCCUAGCUGGUCUGAGAGGAUGACCAGCCAAACGGGAACUGGGACACGGUCCAGACUCCUACGGGAGGCAGCAGUGGGGAAUAUUGCACCAUGGUCGCAAGCCUGAUGCAGCCAUGCCGCGUGUAUGAAGAAGGCCUUCGGGUUGUAAAGCACUUUCAGCGGGUAGGCGUUACCCGCAGAAGAAGCACCGGCUAACUCCGUGCCAGCAGCCGCGGUAAUAC
This 406-nucleotide ribosomal RNA is filed under the name uncultured bacterium. Its description in RNAcentral is "partial 16S ribosomal RNA". It matches the Rfam family "Bacterial small subunit ribosomal RNA", at positions 30 to 526 of the family's 1533-position model. The record is from RNAcentral.